UUGAUUGGUGCUUGCAUCAUGAUUUACAUUUGAGUGAGUGGCGAACUGGUGAGUAACACGUGGGAAACCUGCCCAGAAGCGGGGGAUAACACCUGGAAACAGAUGCUAAUACCGCAUAACAACUUGGACCGCAUGGUCCGAGUUUGAAAGAUGGCUUCGGCUAUCACUUUUGGAUGGUCCCGCGGCGUAUUAGCUAGAUGGUGGGGUAACGGCUCACCAUGGCAAUGAUACGUAGCCGACCUGAGAGGGUAAUCGGCCACAUUGGGACUGAGACACGGCCCAAACUCCUACGGGAGGCAGCAGUAGGGAAUCUUCCACAAUGGACGAAAGUCUGAUGGAGCAACGCCGCGUGAGUGAAGAAGGGUUUCGGCUCGUAAAACUCUGUUGUUAAAGAAGAACAUAUCUGAGAGUAACUGUUCAGGUAUUGACGGUAUUUAACCAGAAAGCCACGGCUAACUACGUGCCAGCAGCCGCGGUAAUACGUAGGUGGCAAGCGUUGUCCGGAUUUAUUGGGCGUAAAGCGAGCGCAGGCGGUUUUUUAAGUCUGAUGUGAAAGCCUUCGGCUCAACCGAAGAAGUGCAUCGGAAACUGGGAAACUUGAGUGCAGAAGAGGACAGUGGAACUCCAUGUGUAGCGGUGAAAUGCGUAGAUAUAUGGAAGAACACCAGUGGCGAAGGCGGCUGUCUGGUCUGUAACUGACGCUGAGGCUCGAAAGUAUGGGUAGCAAACAGGAUUAGAUACCCUGGUAGUCCAUACCGUAAACGAUGAAUGCUAAGUGUUGGAGGGUUUCCGCCCUUCAGUGCUGCAGCUAACGCAUUAAGCAUUCCGCCUGGGGAGUACGGCCGCAAGGCUGAAACUCAAAGGAAUUGACGGGGGCCCGCACAAGCGGUGGAGCAUGUGGUUUAAUUCGAAGCUACGCGAAGAACCUUACCAGGUCUUGACAUACUAUGCAAAUCUAAGAGAUUAGACGUUCCCUUCGGGGACAUGGAUACAGGUGGUGCAUGGUUGUCGUCAGCCUGUGUCGUGAGAUGUUGGGUUAAGUCCCGCAACGAGCGCAACCCUUAUUAUCAGUUGCCAGCAUUAAGUUGGGCACUCUGGUGAGACUGCCGGUGACAAACCGGAGGAAGGUGGGGAUGACGUCAAAUCAUCAUGCCCCUUAUGACCUGGGCUACACACGUGCUACAAUGGAUGGUACAACGAGUUGCGAACUCGCGAGAGUAAGCUAAUCUCUUAAAGCCAUUCUCAGUUCGGAUUGUAGGCUGCAACUCGCCUACAUGAAGUCGGAAUCGCUAGUAAUCGCGGAUCAGCAUGCCGCGGUGAAUACGUUCCCGGGCCUUGUACACACCGCCCGUCACACCAUGAGAGUUUGUAACACCCAAAGU
This 1382-nucleotide ribosomal RNA is filed under the name Lactiplantibacillus plantarum. RNAcentral describes it as "bacterial SSU rRNA". It matches the Rfam family "Bacterial small subunit ribosomal RNA", at positions 69 to 1427 of the family's 1533-position model. Lineage: Bacteria; Bacillati; Bacillota; Bacilli; Lactobacillales; Lactobacillaceae. The record is from RNAcentral.